UACGUAGGGUGCAAGCGUUGUCCGGAAUUAUUGGGCGUAAAGAGCUCGUAGGCGGUUUGUCGCGUCGGCUGUGAAAGCCCGGAGCUCAACUCCGGGUCUGCAGUCGAUACGGGCAGACUUGAGUGUUGCAGGGGAGACUGGAAUUCCUGGUGUAGCGGUGAAAUGCGCAGAUAUCAGGAGGAACACCGGUGGCGAAGGCGGGUCUCUGGGCAACAACUGACGCUGAGGAGCGAAAGCGUGGGGAGCAAACAGG
This 253-nucleotide ribosomal RNA is filed under the name uncultured bacterium. Its description in RNAcentral is "partial 16S ribosomal RNA". It matches the Rfam family "Bacterial small subunit ribosomal RNA", at positions 524 to 776 of the family's 1533-position model. The record is from RNAcentral.